GAGUUUGAUCAUGGCUCAGAACGUACGCUGGCGGCACGCCUAACACAUGCAAGUCGAACGAAGUAGCAAUACUUAGUGGCAGACGGGUGAGUAACAUGUAGGUAUCUGCCCUUUGGCCUGGAAUAACACGAGGAAACUUGUGCUAAUACCGGAUAAGUCUUUACGGAGAAAGCUUUAUGCACCAUUGGAUGAGCCUGCACUUGAUUAGUUUGUUGGUGGGGUAAUGGCCUACCAAGACUGUGAUCAAUAGCUGAUUUGAGAGGAUGAUCAGCCACAUUGGGACUGAGACACGGCCCAAACUCCUACGGGAGGCAGCAGUGGGGAAUCUUGCACAAUGGAGGAAACUCUGAUGCAGCGAUGCCGCGUGAGUGAAGAAGGCCCUUGGGUUGUAAAGCUCUUUCGUCGGGGAAGAAAAUGACUGUACCCGAAUAAGAAGGUCCGGCUAACUUCGUGCCAGCAGCCGCGGUAAUACGAAGGGACCUAGCGUAGUUCGGAAUUACUGGGCUUAAAGAGUUCGUAGGUGGUUGAAAAAGUUAGUGGUGAAAUCCCAGAGCUUAACUCUGGAACUGCCAUUAAAACUUUUCAGCUAGAGUAUGAUAGAGGAAAGCAGAAUUUCUAGUGUAGAGGUGAAAUUCGUAGAUAUUAGAAAGAAUACCAAUUGCGAAGGCAGCUUUCUGGAUCAUUACUGACACUGAGGAACGAAAGCAUGGGUAGCGAAGAGGAUUAGAUACCCUCGUAGUCCAUGCCGUAAACGAUGUGUGUUAGACGUUGGAAAUUUAUUUUCAGUGUCGCAGGAAAACCGAUAAACACACCGCCUGGGGAGUACGACCGCAAGUUAAAACUCAAAUGAAUUGACGGGGACCCGCACAAGUAGUGGAGCAUGUGGUUUAAUUCGAAGAUACGCGCAGAACCUUACCAACACUUGACAUGUUUCGUCGCGACUCUAAGAAGAUUAGAGCU
This 960-nucleotide ribosomal RNA is filed under the name uncultured bacterium. RNAcentral describes it as "bacterial SSU rRNA". It matches the Rfam family "Bacterial small subunit ribosomal RNA", at positions 9 to 1017 of the family's 1533-position model. The record is from RNAcentral.